RNAcentral lists this long non-coding RNA (1333 nucleotides) under Olea europaea subsp. europaea. Lineage: Eukaryota; Viridiplantae; Streptophyta; Magnoliopsida; Lamiales; Oleaceae. The record is from RNAcentral.
GUUGGAAAUGGUUUGGAAAAAAACGUACGUUAUGCAACCCGUAUCAGGGGCGGACCUUGGGGGGAGAAAUUGUACGGGCAAUUGACCCUCUAGAUUUUGGGGGAAAAAAAAUUUUUGCUUAGAUUUUUUUUGUUCCUUAACUUUUUUUUUUAUAUUAGAAUAUACCUUAUAAAUUUUAUUUUUGACCCCCUAACCCAAAUCGUCUGGGUCUGCCCCUACCUGUAAUGUUACGAUAGACAGCUGUUGCUCCUCAGUACACAUAUUUUCGACAACAUGCACUCACAAAUGUUUUGUAUAUCACGUCUUAUUUUAUGUUGUAUGUGAUCCAACAUUUUGCAUCCUCAUGUCAUGUCUGUAAGAUAUCGUUUGAUAGUUUUUACUAUCCAGAUCUUGCUAAGAAAUAUGUGAGACCCAAGAUUCAGGAUUACAUGCAAGCUUAUAUUCCCAAGUUUGGUUCACAAAGUAGCUCUUAAAACAUGUGAGUUACAGUACUAUGAACGAUGUUGCAUCACACAUUCUGUGCUGUCGCUUCUAAUAAAUGAUAUUUUCCCAAGUCGUUAAUAUUGUGCAUACAUUUCAUAAGUUGUGAUACGUAAACUGAUUGCUAUGCACUGAUGAGGUUUUGCUAUAUUAUGAACAUGUUCUAUCUUCAAAACAUGGAUUAAUUCACUACUGAGUGUAGGUGUCACGUUACAUUUUGUUUGCCCUGUUGCGAUUAAACUUUUUUUAAAUGAAAGAGUAGGUAGAAUCUUCAUUCUACAUUCCCCCUGAGAACAGAUUUGGUGCAAGCUUGAAUGUGUUCUUCAGGAAAAAGGUUAUAUUGAAGCUGAAUAGCAAGCUGACCACAUUUCAAAAGGAAAUGUUUAGAUGCCUGUUUCGGACACUUCUUGCAAAUGAAUGACCUGCGCAUAGGUGUUACAGGCAGAUAUCAACGCUUGGCGCCUCAGGGGUGCAAUCUCAUUAUCACACAUAAACCUAAAAAUAUUCCGGUAAUCGCACGUAUUACCUGAUCGCUCGAAGAAACCCCUGAAAAUUGAGGCCUUCAAAGAAUCGGUUGAACACAGAUCGAGAAUCUUGGGUGAUUACGGGCUAUUCCCACUACGAUUUUUUUGUUAUAUGUAACGAAGUAAUGUUCAAUGGUAAAUGGGAUUCAUAUUCUGCAGUAUCUCCCAGUUUGAAUUUUUGAAAACCCAUGUAAUUUGCAACCUUCCGUUUUACUGGCUGUGAUAACAGCGUUUGUGUCUUCAGUUACAAUUCAAUAUUUGGAAGGUCAUGAGGGAAUUAUUUUUGUUUAUAAUAUAUCCCAAUUGUAGUAAGAAAGUUAUAUGUUUAU